AUUGAACGCUGGCGGCAUACUUUACACAUGCAAGUCGAACGGUAACAGGCCGCAAGGUGCUGACGAGUGGCGAACGGGUGAGUAAUGCAUCGGAACGUGCCCAGUCGUGGGGGAUAACUACUCGAAAGAGUAGCUAAUACCGCAUACGAUCUAUGGAUGAAAGCGGGGGACCGUAAGGCCUCGCGCGAUUGGAGCGGCCGAUGUCAGAUUAGGUAGUUGGUGGGGUAAAGGCUCACCAAGCCAACGAUCUGUAGCUGGUCUGAGAGGACGACCAGCCACACUGGGACUGAGACACGGCCCAGACUCCUACGGGAGGCAGCAGUGGGGAAUUUUGAACAAUGGGCGCAAGCCUGAUCCAGCAAUGCCGCGUGCAGGAAGAAGGCCUUCGGGUUGUAAACUGCUUUUGUACGGAACGAAACGGCUCUGGUUAAUACCCGGGGCUAAUGACGGUACCGUAAGAAUAAGCACCGGCUAACUACGUG
This 482-nucleotide ribosomal RNA is filed under the name uncultured bacterium. RNAcentral describes it as "partial 16S ribosomal RNA". It matches the Rfam family "Bacterial small subunit ribosomal RNA", at positions 30 to 507 of the family's 1533-position model. The record is from RNAcentral.